UUUAACUGAAGAGUUUGAUCAUGGCUCAGAUUGAACGCUGGCGGCAGGCUUAACACAUGCAAGUCGAGCGGGGGAAGGU
Molecule: ribosomal RNA, 79 nt
Filed under: Acinetobacter baumannii
Lineage: Bacteria; Pseudomonadati; Pseudomonadota; Gammaproteobacteria; Moraxellales; Moraxellaceae
Also listed under: 1 other name
Description: partial 16S ribosomal RNA
Rfam family: Bacterial small subunit ribosomal RNA
Source: RNAcentral